RNAcentral lists this transfer RNA (94 nucleotides) under Streptomyces zaomyceticus. RNAcentral describes it as "tRNA-Arg". Lineage: Bacteria; Bacillati; Actinomycetota; Actinomycetes; Kitasatosporales; Streptomycetaceae. The record is from RNAcentral.
CGGGGACUUGGCGAGGAGGGUGGUGGCCGCCUCCUUCGCGGCGGGCGCGCCGGUGUCGAUGAGGCGCUCGACGAUCGUCUCGACGGUCUCGGCC